This 72-nucleotide transfer RNA is filed under the name Otolemur garnettii (small-eared galago). It matches the Rfam family "tRNA". From Rfam's summary of the family: Transfer RNA (tRNA) molecules are approximately 80 nucleotides in length. Their secondary structure includes four short double-helical elements and three loops (D, anti-codon, and T loops). The record is from Rfam by way of RNAcentral. Lineage: Eukaryota; Metazoa; Chordata; Mammalia; Primates; Galagidae.
GCGCCUGUAGCUCAGUGGCCAGGGCGCCAGCCACAUACACUGGGGCUGGUGGUUUAAAUCCAGCCAGGCCCU